GGAGAGAUGGCUGAGUGGUUUAAAGCGAUGGUCUCGAAAAUCAUUGUACUCAAACUAGGGUACCGGGGGUUCAAAUCCCUUUCUCUCCG
RNAcentral lists this transfer RNA (89 nucleotides) under Clostridium saccharobutylicum DSM 13864. It matches the Rfam family "tRNA". From Rfam's summary of the family: Transfer RNA (tRNA) molecules are approximately 80 nucleotides in length. The record is from Rfam by way of RNAcentral. Lineage: Bacteria; Bacillati; Bacillota; Clostridia; Eubacteriales; Clostridiaceae.